GCUCCAGCUUUAAGAGGAGUUAAGAACUCUACCUUUUUUGCAAGGAAAUCUUGGAAAGGAUCAAGAGCCGAGAGAAGGUUUUUGAAGAUGAGACCUGCCUUUAUAUUGUGACCACAGGGCUCAGCUGAUGGAGCUGGAGUGUCUGUCAUCCGUUUAUGGUUUCGCAGAUCAGAGAGCUGAUCAUGAAGAUGACAGCUUCCAACAUGUUUGAGAGAACUUCAGACUAUUCCUGGGCUAAAUGGAAGAGAAGUCUGGCUUGCUGAGAGUAGGAUCAGCAAAUUUUGGUUUGAGCAUCUUCGCACCAGGUCAAAACUCCCAAGACAGAAGGAGGAAGAGCUCCUCCUAAAAGAAUAUCUAUAGGAGAAUACCCUUUGCUACUUGAUGACCAGGAAGAACACUUCCACCUGCAUUUGGGACUUCAAGCAUUUUCAAGGUAACUAAUUACUCAGGUUGUCCUAAAAUCACCUGCACAUUGCAUCGUCUCAAUUUCGUCAGCUUGGACUGCAGUUACUUAAAAAUCACCAUCUAUUUUGAAAUCU
Molecule: long non-coding RNA, 539 nt
Organism: Nothoprocta perdicaria
Lineage: Eukaryota; Metazoa; Chordata; Aves; Tinamiformes; Tinamidae
Exons: 5
Source: RefSeq, a predicted model, not a curated record